UAUCCAAGGUUUCUCCGGUUUGGUGACCAGCGGAGGGAUCAUUACCGAGUUAUACAACUCCCAAACCCACUGUGAACCUUACCUCAGUUGCCUCGGCGGGAACGCCCCGGCCGCCUGCCCCCGCGCCGGCGCCGGACCCAGGCGCCCGCCGCAGGGACCCCAAACUCUCUUGCAUUACGCCCAGCGGGCGGAAUUUCUUCUCUGAGUUGCACAAGCAAAAACAAAUGAAUCAAAACUUUCAACAACGGAUCUCUUGGUUCUGGCAUCGAUGAAGAACGCAGCGAAAUGCGAUAAGUAAUGUGAAUUGCAGAAUUCAGUGAAUCAUCGAAUCUUUGAACGCACAUUGCGCCCGCCAGCAUUCUGGCGGGCAUGCCUGUUCGAGCGUCAUUUCAACCCUCGAGCCCCCCCCGGGGGCCUCGGUGUUGGGGGACGGCACACCAGCCGCCCCCGAAAUGCAGUGGCGACCCCGCCGCAGCCUCCCCUGCGUAGUAGCACACACCUCGCACCGGAGCGCGGAGGCGGUCACGCCGUAAAACGCCCAACUUUCUUAGAGUUGACCUCGGAUCAGGUAGGAAUACCCGCUGAACUUAAGCAUAUCAAUAAGCGGAGGAAAAGAAACCAACAGGGAUUGCCCCAAACA
The sequence is a ribosomal RNA, 640 nucleotides long. The stretch from base 234 to 387 matches the Rfam family "5.8S ribosomal RNA".